AUCCAGUUGAGGAGUCACAAACAGGACGAAACGCGCGUCAAACUGGAU
This 48-nucleotide non-coding RNA is filed under the name Schistosoma curassoni. The record is from RNAcentral. Lineage: Eukaryota; Metazoa; Platyhelminthes; Trematoda; Strigeidida; Schistosomatidae.